RNAcentral lists this long non-coding RNA (1478 nucleotides) under Monodelphis domestica (gray short-tailed opossum). RNAcentral's name for it is "lncRNA (ENSMODG00000033058.2)". Lineage: Eukaryota; Metazoa; Chordata; Mammalia; Didelphimorphia; Didelphidae. The record is from RNAcentral.
CCAAUCCCAACCUAGUAAGUAAGGAGACAGGACCCUUGGGGCCUGCUGCGGGAUGCACUUUCCCCAGCCACAACACUUUAAAACCCACACUGCUCAGGGGUGAAGUCUGGAGAUUCAGAAAUAUAUACAGGAGAGGAAAGAGGAAUGACUGGUCUCUCCAUCUGGCAGCUAAGGGACCUAGGCUAGCCUGCUUUUGACUUUAUUUGAGGGGUUUCCUUUUUUUUAAGCAGAUAGCUUUGUGAGUCCCCAAAGUUCUGGAAAUCUACUGUUAGCAUCAUCUACUAGUAAAAUACUUCCUCGUUUCACCCCCAGCAGAAAAACAAGAAAGCAACAAUAGUUUUGUUUUUUUUUUACUGUAAUUCCAAGGAUUUGUUAAUGAAAUUAGGAUUAUAAGAGAAUGAAGAGUUUAUUCUUCUAAAUAGGCAGUCAAGCUUCCCUAGAACUGAAUCUGAGCAAAUCAGAAUGGCUGACUGAAGGCCAAGAUUGGUACAAAUCCCCAGUUCCUUUGGCCUGAGCCAAGUGUUGAUACUGUCAACCCAAUAACUUCCCCAGUUUCUGUCCCCACCAACUGGAAUUGAACCCAAUGAGCGAGACAUGAAGAACUAGAAGGAGAGGCACAGGCAUUAUGUAUGUUGUGCUCUUCUCAGCAGAACUGCAUGACAGAGGAACUCCUCCCCUAAGAAAGAAGCCCAGCUACAGAUUUGGACCAUCACAGAAGUUUGCUGAACCCUGCUCUAGGCAGCCCUCUAAGAUUCAGAGAAGACACCAACUGGAAUUAUUGAAAGACAGAAUUCACCUGGGAAUUUCCUUUGCUAUAGAAAUAAUAAAUCUAAUUACUGUUCUAUCCUAUAUUUAGUCUGUAUAUACUUAUAUAAGCAUAUGCUUUUUCCAUUAAUAGAAUGUGAACUCCUAAGAACAAGGAUUGCUUGAUCCUUUGUCUUUGUAUCCCCAAUGCCUUGCACAAUGUUGCUAUGUUGUGAGUUCUUAAUAGAUGUUUGUUGAUUGACUCAUUACUUGCUGAAGUCAAAUAUUACUUUAUUUUCCCAGAAUAUGCUUUGAUGUCAGUUGAUGUGUUUUUCAGAAUUUGAAGACAGAUUUCCUGAGCCCUGUUAUCAUGGAAUGGUUUCAUUCCAGCCUGAACAAUUCAUUGUCUCUUCUUCCCUGAAGUGAUGAGGUGCCUGCAGACUAAUCAUGUAAAUACAAACAACUCUCUCCUCUCAUGCCUACUCCAGUACUGCUCUGGGUUGCUAGACUCACCUUGUGAGAUGCCCCCUGUCUCAAGAAGGUCAGUUAGAGAUGAAUAAGGUCCCCUGGCAACAGCUGACUUCUCUUUUAUGAACUGCUUGUAUCUAUCGCCAUAUGGCAGAUUAUUUAUUUGCUUUUUGCCUGCACUAAAGAAUCACUCCAGACAUUGAGAGUCAGGAGGAAAAAAAAGCAUCAAGGUGUUCAGCAUUCAUUUUUUGAAAAUUGUUCAAGUU